This is a long non-coding RNA of Cyprinus carpio (common carp), 2614 nucleotides long. Lineage: Eukaryota; Metazoa; Chordata; Actinopteri; Cypriniformes; Cyprinidae. The record is from Ensembl.
CCCACAAUUUCCCCAUAUUGGGCAUUUUGGGCAUUGGCCAAAAUGCUGUAUUUUACGAAUGCAUUAGUGUAUCAUUAUGAAACUCGGUUUUGUCAUCGGGACCAUAAUCUGAAGGUGUCACAGUGUCUGGGUUGUGUUCCCUGGGUAACCACUAGAUGUCCUCCUUCCCCACGGUGUCUGUCACUUAAUGAACCACAUUACCCAUGAUCCCUGUCUCCUCAUUGCACUCAGCUGUCACUGAUUAGUAAUCAUUGCACACAGUCAAUUCCCCAUUAGCGUUUGUCAUGUCCCUGUGUAUUUAUACCGGUCUGUCUUAGUAUGUGUCACAGAGUCCUUGUUAAUCCUCGUCCGUCUCUAGUUGUGUUCUAGUCUGGUGGCCUUGUUUAUUUAUGUUGGAUAUGUUUGGUAUUGACCCCCUGCCUGGACUGUUUAUUCUUUGGAUUGCCCUUAAUAAAAGACGUACUCGCAUUUGGAUCUCUCACUGUGUCUCCUUGUAUCCCGGACGUGACAGAAGGACUCCGUCAACUUGAGAUCCAGCGGUAUGUCUGCUCACGUUUCCUCCCCAGCCACAGAGCGGGAGAGGAGCAGUUUUGAGGGAACUAGCCUGGUGGUCUUCCGGGGAACCAGGGGAGGUCGCCGAGGAGGGAGUAGUCGAGAGGAGGUUCAACAUCGCUCUCAACCAUGGCCCCCCUUCGACCCUGGGCUCGUGUGUGACGGAUCGGAGCCACUGUCUCACCAUGGCGGACGGAGAGGGGAAAGGAAGCGCAGGUCCGCCAUGGUGGCGCAACUGCCCAUGAUGGCCACAGGGCCAGCGCCACGAGGCAAGGUGGACGCCAGCCCAGCGCCAAUGCCCAAGAGGGCCGCGGAGACAUUGUUGGAUUACUUUUCCAUGUUGAACCAGAUUUUAGAGAUUCCCAGGAGUGUUCACGUCCCGGCUGCGGAGCCAGCGCCAAUGCCCAAGAUGGCCACCAGCCCAGUGCCACAGCACAGGAUGGCCGCCAGCCCAGCGCCACAGCACAGGAUGGCCGCCAGCCCAGCGCCACAGCACAAGAUGGCCGAAUCUGCACCUGUGUCACCAGACAAGAUGGCCGACUCAACGCCUGAGUCUCCAGACAAGGUGACACCGACUCGCCAUCAUAGAGGGCGGAGGAGGAGGGGACAGGCGUCUACCGUUCCUCAAAGCCCGGCGGAUGUUCCCGAGCAGCCCGCUGCCGUCCCGGAGGCCGUUCCCGAGCAGCCCGCUGCCGGCCCGGAGGAGGUUCCCGAGCAGCCCGCUGCCGUCCCGGAGGCGGCGCCUGAGGCAGAGGCCGAUACGGGGCCCGAGGCGGUUCUUGAAGCCGAGGCGGUUCCUGAGGCCGUUCCCGAGGCAGUGCUCGAUCCGGAGGCUGAGGCGGUGCCCGAGGCCGAGGCGGUGCCUGAUGCCGUUCCGGAGGCCGAGGUGGUGCCCGAUACGGUUCCGGAGGCCGAGGCGGUGCCCGAUGCCAAAGCGGUGCCCGGUGCUGUUCCGGAGGCCGAGGCGGUGCCCGAUGCCGAGGAGGUGGCCGAUGCUGUUCCGGAGGCCGAGGCGGUGCCCGAGGCGGUGCCUGAUGCGGUGGCCGAGGCGGUUCCCGAUGCAAUGUCCGAUGCCGAGGCGGUGCCCGAUGCCGAGGCGGUGCCCGAUGCCGAGGCGGUGCCCGAUGCCGAGGCGGUGCCCGAGGCGGUGCCCGAACCCGAGGUUGUUCCCGAGGCGACGCCCGUGUCCAGGGCCAUUCCCGAGGCGGUGUUCUUGUUCCAUGCCGUUCCUGAGGCCGCUCCCGAGGUGGUGCCCGAGCCCGAGGUCAUGCCCGAGAUCGUUCCCGAGGCGGUGCCCUUGUCCAAAGCCGUUCCCGAGGCGGUGUCCAAUGCCGUGACCUGGCCAUCGCCACAGCCUGCUCCUUACUGGCUCCCCGAUUGGCAGGUUCCGUUCGGGCCACUCAAAUGGCGAAUUCCUCCCUGGCCGUCUGCACAACGAGAAUGGACUGAUCCACCGUGGCCACCUGAACUGCCUGGCCCCUCGUGGUCCCCUGAACUUUCGGGUCCACCAUGGCCCCCUGAUCUGACCGAGCCACUUGGGCUACCAGGGGAGCCAUCGCUGCCGGUCCCAGUUCCCCUACACGGGCCUGGCCCGCCAUCCCUCCCCCUGUUCUGCCUCCACCAGUCCACCUCCCUCCUGGUCUCUUUGUUUUGUGUUUAUUUUGUUCUGAGGAGCAUCUGGAAGCUGCUCCUUAGAGGGGGGGUAGUGUCACGGGUCUGUUCUGUGUCUCCCUGGGUGGCCACUAGAGGUCUCACUUCCCCUUGUUGUCACCCCCUUCUGAACUACAUUUCCCACUAGCCUUAUCUGUUCAUCACUGUUCAUUGUGUUCAGCUGUCACCACUUACCUUGUUUUCACCUGUCUAUAAAUACCCUGGUGGUUUCUGUCAUUGUUACGGAGUCCAUGUUGCAUGUCACCCUGCUUUUUCCUGGUUCCCUAGUGGAUGUUCGUGUUUCGUGUUUUGGACUGUUUAAUGUCACCCUGGUUUCGUGUUUCCUUGCUUGGUUUGUGUUUCUUGUUUUGGACUGAUUACCUGGAUGUUGACCAUUGCCUGGCUAAGUUUA